GUAGCGGGACAUUGAGAUCAGUAAGAAGAUCAAUUGAUUAACGGGGAUCAAAAGUACACUUUCAAAAAACUAAAGGAAACUCAUAUCAUAUCAAGUAAAGAAACCCAAUUUACAGCUUACAGACAAAAACCAAUCCCUAUACCUCUCCCUAACAUCACCAUACUCCAUCUCAUGCUCCCUACCUCUAGUCCCCCCAGUUCCUCCCCCUCUCGACGUCCCGCCGGAAACUCUGUCUCUCUGCCUCUCCCUCUCCCUCUCCCUCCACCGAAACCCAUCCUCCCUCCUCUACUCCUCACAGAAACUGAAAGUUAAAAAAACAUUGUUUACCAAACUAAAGGGAAUAACCUAACCUGACCAACAAAAUCACAGUAACCUUGACUACAACCUACAAAACCAGAAAAAUACCCAUUGCAUCAACCCAACAUUCAAAUACUGUGAUUUUGAAAUACCCAAAACCCAACCUACAAAACCAUUUAAAUACCCAGAAAUAAAACCCGUCAAGCAUACCUGAUUUGAGACCCACCCAAUAUAAACCAAAUUUCAUCCCGAAACUGAUAUUUAGAAUGCCAAACCGUAGGGAUUUCCUGCAGAUCAACAUCCUUAUUGUCAAACCUUAACCGGUAAACCUAGAUAGAUACAAUGAAGAAGAAGAACAAAGAACCAAAAUCGAACUAACAGUGACCGAUAAAAAAACAAAGAGUUGACAGUAAAUUCAGUUUCAAAAUCCAAGCAUAGAAUAAUUAACAAAGAAGAAGAAAGAAGAUCGGGAGGCUUGAGAAAGAAGAACGGGAGGCUUGAAUAAUUACAAAAUUGAACUAACAUUAACGAAUUUCAUCUUCGAUCGAUCAGUCUAUUCUUUGAUCUUCGAUCGAUCAGUCAACUCUAGUCUCUCCCUCUAUAUGCUUCUGUUUGGGGAAAAAGAAAAAAGGAGUCCAGAUCCUUCCAGAGGUGUGUGGAGCAAGAGAAAGGGCAAAACCGAUGAAGGAAGUGACGAAAGAGAGGGAAGGAGAGCUUGAGAUUUGGAAAAUGAUUCGGUGGGGUUUUGAGAGAGAUCAAGAGAGAGCAAGAAAAAGAAUUAGAAAACGGCAAGAUGCAGGACCAUAACUUCAUAUGAAAAGCAGAAUAAAAACAAAUCUCAGAUAAAAAACUAAAUGGGAGCAAAUUCAUUCACACAAAACUCAUUAACCAUCAAGACAUAGCAAAUUCCAUUUUUCAAGCCUAUAGACUCGAUGGUGAUAAGAAAGGCAGAGACAUUGAAAUGUGAAUGAAUUUGGCUAGAAAACAUAUCUUGUUUGCAUAUACAGGAUGUAAAUUGUUAUUGGCCAUUUACAGCAAUCAAAUCUGCAACUAAAUAUUUUUGCUCAGAACUGUCAUCAUUAACAUUCAAUGGGUACAUUUUUUGAUUUUCAAUCAAUUUUAGAUGCAUUGCAUGCAUUUUAUCUCUAUGUGUCUAUUUCUAAUGAACAGCUAAAUCCUAAUGUGAGUUAUCAAAAGUAAAAUAAACAGAACACAGACCUUCAAUACGGAAUUGAAUCCCAGAAACCUUCACCGAACCUGCAAAAAAAAUAGAAGUAUUCGCAAGACCCAAUCCAAAAUCCAACUGGUCAUGUGAAUAAAUAAUAACACACUCAAACUCGCAUAUCAAAAAACGACUUCAUCCAUACAGUACUCAUUUAAUCACAUUGCAUACAACAUUGCAAUCCUAAAUUCUUAACCUCAUAAAAGCUGCAAGUCCUCCCACCGUAUCUAAAGACGAAAAAAUCUGUCUGCAUUAUAACAUAGCAGCAAUCCUUCUUAAGAAUGCAAUGGAGCUUCUCCAUUUAGAAGGCAAAAGAGCAACCAUUUGUGCAGCUCAUCAUCAGAAUUUUAUUUUAUUUUUACAUGUACAAAGUCUUUGAAGCCCUAUUAUUCUUCUCGGUUUAUUUCUGUUCUAAUUCACACAAAAAAUGCAAGCAGAUGGACAAUAGGAAAUGCAUAAUUAGAUGUAAAUAUGGAUGUGAUUCUCAGUAUGCAAAUGUCAUCCAUUAACAUUCUAUUACAUGAUCAUCACCAAACCUAUCAAUU
RNAcentral lists this long non-coding RNA (2064 nucleotides) under Fragaria vesca (wild strawberry). Its description in RNAcentral is "long non-coding RNA (FVES_LNC005496)". Lineage: Eukaryota; Viridiplantae; Streptophyta; Magnoliopsida; Rosales; Rosaceae. The record is from RNAcentral.